AGCCACACACAAAUUCUCGACCACAACCUGUUGGUGAUGUAACAUUCAAAAAAGAGAUGCUUGAAGUCUUCAACAUACUGCUUACAGAAUGCACACAUUGCUGGAACUUGUAUGCCCAUGGUCUGUAAUCUAUCAACUGUGGGGAGCUUAUGCUGAGCAGCCAGCCAAACAGUAAACUUAUGCUUAGGAAGUACAUUAGCAAUAAGCAUUAAGUUCUUCCAUG
This 223-nucleotide long non-coding RNA is filed under the name Nicotiana benthamiana. RNAcentral describes it as "long non-coding RNA (NBEN_LNC029092)". The record is from RNAcentral. Lineage: Eukaryota; Viridiplantae; Streptophyta; Magnoliopsida; Solanales; Solanaceae.